RNAcentral lists this ribosomal RNA (258 nucleotides) under uncultured bacterium. RNAcentral describes it as "partial 16S ribosomal RNA". It matches the Rfam family "Bacterial small subunit ribosomal RNA", at positions 524 to 778 of the family's 1533-position model. The record is from RNAcentral.
UACGGAGGGUGCAAGCGUUAUCCGGAUUCACUGGGUUUAAAGGGUGCGUAGGCGGGCAGGUAAGUCCGUGGUGAAAUCUCUGAGCUUAACUCAGAAACUGCCAUGGAUACUAUUUGUCUUGAAUACUGUGGAGGUGAGCGGAAUAUGUCAUGUAGCGGUGAAAAUGCUUAGAUAUGACAUAGAACACCAAUUGCGAAAGGCAGCUCACUACACAAUUAUUGACGCUGAGGCACGAAAGCGUGGGGAGUCAAACAGGAA